This 176-nucleotide non-coding RNA is filed under the name Intestinibacter bartlettii. The record is from RNAcentral. Lineage: Bacteria; Bacillati; Bacillota; Clostridia; Peptostreptococcales; Peptostreptococcaceae. RNAcentral also lists the same sequence under 1 other name.
AAAAUAAGUAGUUAUAAAAGUUCUAUUUAAUAGAAUAAUAGGGAAAUUGGUGCAAAUCCAAUGCGAUCCCGUCACUGUGAUAAAGGGUUAAUUUUAAAACCACUGGAUAUAUAUCUGGGAAGGUAAAAUUAACAAUGCUUUUCAGCCAGGAUACCUGCUUUUAUAAUAAUUGAGAA